GACGAACGCUGGCGGCGUGCUUAACACAUGCAAGUCGAGCGGAAAACUUCGGUUUUCAGCGGCGGACGGGUGAGUAACACGUGGGCAACCUGCCUCACAAUGAGGGAUAGCCUUCCGAAAGGAAGAUUAAUACCUCAUAACACAAGAGAAACGCAUGUUUCUCUUGCCAAAGAAUUUCGUUGUGAGAUGGGCCCGCGGCGCAUUAGCUUGUUGGUGAGGUAACGGCUCACCAAGGCUUCGAUGCGUAGCCGACCUGAGAGGGUGAUCGGCCACAUUGGAACUGAGACACGGUCCAGACUCCUACGGGAGGCAGCAGUGGGGAAUAUUGCACAAUGGAGGAAACUCUGAUGCAGCAACGCCGCGUGAGCGAUGAAGGUCUUCGGAUUGUAAAACUCUGUCUUCUGGGACGAUAAUGACGGUACCAGAGGAGGAAGCCACGGCUAACUACGUGCCAGCAGCCGCCGUAA
This 467-nucleotide ribosomal RNA is filed under the name uncultured bacterium. RNAcentral describes it as "partial 16S ribosomal RNA". It matches the Rfam family "Bacterial small subunit ribosomal RNA", at positions 28 to 523 of the family's 1533-position model. The record is from RNAcentral.